UACGUAGGGUGCGAGCGUUGCCCGGAUUUAUUGGGCGUAAAGGGCGCGUAGGCGGCCACGCACGUCCGUUGUGAAAUCGCCCGGCUCAACUGGGCGGGGUCAGCGGAUACGGUGUGGCUCGAGCAAGCUAGGGGGCAAUGGAAUUCCCGGUGUAGUGGUGGAAUGCGUAGAUAUCGAGAAGAACACCGGUGGCGAAGGCGGCCAUCUGGACGGUGACUGACGCUGAGACGCGAAAGCGUGGGGAGCAAACAGG
RNAcentral lists this ribosomal RNA (253 nucleotides) under uncultured bacterium. Its description in RNAcentral is "partial 16S ribosomal RNA". It matches the Rfam family "Bacterial small subunit ribosomal RNA", at positions 524 to 776 of the family's 1533-position model. The record is from RNAcentral.